UUAGUAUCACUUUCCCAUUUUUCUUCUUUGUGUUUUGUAUUUAGUAUCUUUUCCCAAUCGGUGCUCCCCUACCCCGCGAUUUCUAUCGUGAACUAGAAUUGAUGAUUUAUUGAUCGGCCUGGGCUCUAAUUGUUUUAAUGUCGUUUUGUUAACUAUGUGUUUCUGGGGUGUUAAUUGUUGAAUACAAACGGCUGACCAUAUGCGCAGUAAAUCCUAGUUACCUACUUAGAUAUGGAGCAGAUGAUGGAUUUAUUUAGAUAUGGAGCAGAUGAUGAAUUUAUAAUGGUAUUGGGACACCGGAUACCCAGUUAAUAGGUUCACCGUUUGGGAUGGUUGCUCAAAUCUUAGCACAAACAAGUUGGAUUUGAGCAUCCGUUGGAGAAGCGAAAGUAGAAUUUUGUUACUAGGGUUCCAUCCUAAUUCCUACAUAGUUAACAAAAAGCCAAAAUCGCGAGCAUUAUGCAUUGGAAAGUACGAUAGCUACAUCUGUGUUUAUAACAUGAAGCUUUACGGCUGGAUCACGAGAUUCUCUCUCGGAAACUAAUUAAACAAUGUAAAAAUUGAAUACCAUGUAUAUUUCUAGAAGGAAAAUUCUACUUGUACAUAAUUAUUGCACACAAUGGUGUCCAUAAUGUGACGUGACAAUCAUCCGGUUGUUCAUGUGCAAGUAUGAGAUUUGAAUUAAAGGUUGGAUCCAAUGUUACGUGUAAUUAUGGACGCCAUUAUGUAGACAAUUAUGUACAUGUAACACUUCCUUUUUUAGAAUAAUGCCCUUCAUAAUGAGGACUGCCGAUAGUCUUCAUACAUGGUAUAUAAGUGGCAGUUUGUUAUUUUAUGCACUAAUGUUAGGGGUGGACGCCAAACCAUAAACCAAUGAUUUUUUUUUUUU
RNAcentral lists this long non-coding RNA (889 nucleotides) under Olea europaea (common olive). RNAcentral's name for it is "long non-coding RNA (OEUR_LNC005021)". Lineage: Eukaryota; Viridiplantae; Streptophyta; Magnoliopsida; Lamiales; Oleaceae. The record is from RNAcentral.